GGUUGAUCCUGCCAGUAGUCAUAUGCUUGUCUCAAAGAUUAAGCCAUGCAUGUGUAAGUAUAAGUAUUGUACAGCGAAACUGCGAAUGGCUCAUUAAAACAGUUAUAGUUUAUUUGAUACUUGAAAGUUACAUGGAUAACCGUGGCAAUUCUACAGCUAAUACAUGCUUCAAAACCCGACUCUUCGGAAGGGUUGUAUUUAUUAGAUAUUAAGCCAUCCCUUCGGGGCUGUGAUGAAUCAUAAUAACUGAUCGAAUCGAGGCUUGCCUUGAUAAAUCAUUCAAGUUUCUGCC
RNAcentral lists this ribosomal RNA (292 nucleotides) under uncultured eukaryote. RNAcentral's name for it is "partial 18S ribosomal RNA". It matches the Rfam family "Eukaryotic small subunit ribosomal RNA", at positions 6 to 311 of the family's 1831-position model. The record is from RNAcentral.